Schizosaccharomyces pombe (fission yeast) is the source of this 373-nucleotide non-coding RNA. Lineage: Eukaryota; Fungi; Ascomycota; Schizosaccharomycetes; Schizosaccharomycetales; Schizosaccharomycetaceae. The record is from the annotation of a GenBank genome assembly.
AAGCUAACUAACAAACAUUCCAACAAUAGUCAGAAGCAUCCGUUUGGGAAUUGCCUUGAUUAUCGUAAUUAUUGCACCCGGUAAUAUAAUCAUAGGAUUUUUGAUAGCUCCAUGUAUUACAUUCAGACAUGUCAGUAACACCAGCACUACACCAAUCAUACUGAAUUUGGAAAUGAGGCAUGCAAAUAUAGCUACCUGUGCUUGUACCUUGAACAGUUACCGUUGAAGUCCAGCUGCCAGGAUUAGAAAUGUUGUCCACUUUAGAGUUGUAUGAGUACAAGAGAUAGGUUUGAGAUAAUCCCAAUAUCUUUAAUUCACUCAAUGAUUUUUUCGACAUAGUCGAAGAAGUAGUGAACUGAACUGUAGCAUCGUA